This 253-nucleotide ribosomal RNA is filed under the name uncultured bacterium. RNAcentral's name for it is "partial 16S ribosomal RNA". It matches the Rfam family "Bacterial small subunit ribosomal RNA", at positions 524 to 776 of the family's 1533-position model. The record is from RNAcentral.
UACGUAGGGACCAAGCGUUGUUCGGAUUUACUGGGCGUAAAGGGCGCGUAGGCGGCAUGACAAGUCACUUGUGAAAUCUCCGGGCUUAACUCGGAACGGCCAAGUGAUACUGUCAAGCUAGAGUGCAGAAAGGGCAAUCGGAAUUCUUGGUGUAGCGGUGAAAUGCGUAGAUACAAUCAAGAACUCCGAUUGCGUAGGCAGCUAACUAGGCUGUAACUGACGCUGAGGCACGAAAGCGUGGGGAGCGAACAGG